CGUAAGGCGCCGAAUGAGUCAUUAAAAAAUUAACAUCAUCCGAUCCCUAGUCGGCAUAGUUCAUGGUUAAGACUACGACGGUAUCUGAUCGUCUUCGAUCCCCUAACUUUCGUUCUUGAUUAAUGAAAACAUCCUUGGCAAAAUGCUUUUCGCAGUAGUUAGUCUUCAAUAAAUCCAAAGAAUUUCACCUCUGACAAUUGAAUACUAAUGCCCCCAACUAUCCCUAUUAAUCAUUACGUCAAUCCUAAGAAACCAACAAAAUAGGAUCGGACGUCCUAUUUCAUUAUUCCAUGCUAAUGUAUUCAA
RNAcentral lists this ribosomal RNA (306 nucleotides) under uncultured Glomus. RNAcentral's name for it is "partial 18S ribosomal RNA". Lineage: Eukaryota; Fungi; Glomeromycota; Glomeromycetes; Glomerales; Glomeraceae. The record is from RNAcentral.